RNAcentral lists this transfer RNA (76 nucleotides) under Planctomycetota bacterium. Its description in RNAcentral is "Planctomycetes bacterium tRNA-Lys". It matches the Rfam family "tRNA". Rfam says of the family: Transfer RNA (tRNA) molecules are approximately 80 nucleotides in length. Their secondary structure includes four short double-helical elements and three loops (D, anti-codon, and T loops). Further hydrogen bonds mediate the characteristic L-shaped molecular structure. tRNAs have two regions of fundamental functional importance: the anti-codon, which is responsible for specific mRNA codon recognition, and the 3' end, to which the tRNAs corresponding amino acid is attached (by aminoacyl-tRNA synthetases). tRNAs cope with the degeneracy of the genetic code in two manners: having more than one tRNA (with a specific anti-codon) for a particular amino acid; and 'wobble' base-pairing, i.e. permitting non-standard base-pairing at the 3rd anti-codon position. Lineage: Bacteria; Pseudomonadati; Planctomycetota. The record is from RNAcentral.
GGGACCAAGGUGCUAGCGGCAGCAUACCUGACUCUUAAUCAGCCUGGUGAGGGUUCAAGUCCCUCUGGUCCCACUA